GGGCGCUUAGUACAAUAGGUUAGUGCUGCUGCCUCAUAAGCAGUAAGUUGCCGGUUCGAGUCCGGCAGUGCCCA
This 74-nucleotide transfer RNA is filed under the name Clostridiales bacterium. RNAcentral describes it as "tRNA-Met". It matches the Rfam family "tRNA". Rfam says of the family: Transfer RNA (tRNA) molecules are approximately 80 nucleotides in length. Their secondary structure includes four short double-helical elements and three loops (D, anti-codon, and T loops). Further hydrogen bonds mediate the characteristic L-shaped molecular structure. tRNAs have two regions of fundamental functional importance: the anti-codon, which is responsible for specific mRNA codon recognition, and the 3' end, to which the tRNAs corresponding amino acid is attached (by aminoacyl-tRNA synthetases). tRNAs cope with the degeneracy of the genetic code in two manners: having more than one tRNA (with a specific anti-codon) for a particular amino acid; and 'wobble' base-pairing, i.e. permitting non-standard base-pairing at the 3rd anti-codon position. Lineage: Bacteria; Bacillati; Bacillota; Clostridia; Eubacteriales. The record is from RNAcentral.